CCAUUAAAAGGAAAAAAAACUAAAAGAAGACAUGCCAAUGUACAAGUUACAUCAUAAUUUAUGUAUUAUUUCUAACAAAUCUCAUAAAACCUUCAAGGAUUUAGAUGUACCUUUUCCGAAUAUUUUUUUCAAUGAAAAUGUCAUACUAAUUAUAAUUAAGCAAAAUAACAACACAUAACAAAUAUUCUUAGCACGUAAGAGUUGAAACGAGUUUACCGGAUUGACGAACAACUUCUUGAAAAUUGAAAAUCGUUGUAAUUGAACAC
This 266-nucleotide long non-coding RNA is filed under the name Nicotiana benthamiana. Its description in RNAcentral is "long non-coding RNA (NBEN_LNC022011)". Lineage: Eukaryota; Viridiplantae; Streptophyta; Magnoliopsida; Solanales; Solanaceae. The record is from RNAcentral.